GCAAAUUAAAGAGCAAUACAAAGGCAAAGUUAUAAGUCAAAAUCCAACAAAAACGGACAUUGCUUUUUCAAAUCAAAAUCCAAAUACAUUGAACCAACCAACCAAUUACACCCUUUCUUUCUUCCCCUUUUUCUCACUAGUCACCUACCAAAUCAAGAUCCCAAAACUUCUUAUAUAUUCAUACAACCACCUCAAUUCCAUCACUACAAAAUUGAAGGACGUAACAAUAUAUUCAUUCUUACACUAAUACAUAUUUUUGUGCACUAAGUUUUCUAUUCUACCAUGGUUGUGACUUCACAAACAUUAGAAAUUACGGUUAUAUCUGGUGAAAAUAUUCAUGUAACGGAGGAUGCAUACGUUGUUGUUCGAGGUGAGUCUCUUAAUUGUUACACAACAAAAACGGUGAAAGAUAAUGAUAAUUGUGGGAAAAACUCGAGUUUUCUUUCAUGGAAUGAGAAGUUUUUGUUGAACAUGCCAUUGCAUGCAAGGUCAAUCACUUUUGAGGUGCAAUGCAAGAAGUUUAAAAGUGUACGUCCUAUUGGGGUGGCAAGAAUUGCUCUUUCGGAUUUUCUCAAUGGCAUCGCGCCGGAAAAUUGUUUGCAAAUUUUGAGUUAUAAAUUGAGGAACUGGGAAGGGAGGCAAAAUGGAGUUAUUCAUUUCAGUGUGAGGGUGGUUGUGCCGGAGAAAACAUCGGCUACCGUGGCGGUUGAAAAGCAGACUGUCGCGGAUGGAAAGAAUUAUGGUGGUCGGUUAACUGGAAUGGAUGUUGGUACCAAGGACUCUAAUGGUGUUGCUAUUGGUAUUCCGUUUUGGUGGAAUUACCCAAACAUUAUUUAAAUAUUUAUAUUUAUAUUAUUUGAUUUUUUGCAUUCUUGUCAAAGAUUAAUGAAGUCAAUUUUGAUGCACAAUAUAUUAUUGUGAUACAUACAAGUGUAAAAUAUCAUUUCAACAAAUAAACUUAAUGAUCAAUCUAAGAUUCAACUUAGAUCUUAUAGAUUCUAAGUUGAUAGAUUUAAUGUUUAAAGUUGAUGUUUGCGGUCCAAGAUAUGUGCGCCUGUGAAUAUAAGUUGCAUAAAUGCAAGGAAAAAAAAAAGUAAGUAUAAGAAGCAUAAAAGUACCUUGGCUUGGCAUAGUUGGGGUCGAAUCUCGAGACCAUUUCUUGCAAUUCAUUAAUUAUUCAGGUGGUUUGAGAUCGCAACGCUCGUUUUUUCACCUUAUAUGGCUCUUAUGUGUUUGGGUGUUGUGGAAUGAGCGGAAUUAAUGAUAGAGUUUUCAGGAAUAAACAAAGCUCACUAUCGCAUAUGUUAGAUAAAGUAAAAUCAUAUUACAUGUGGUGGUUGAAAGCUAGUAACGUUGUUUCUAGUUUUGGUACUCAUAACUGGUGGUCGAACCCGCUCUUAUGUAUGAGUAUCGACUGACUAUUUUGUAAUACUGACUAGACUGUGUUUCUUUUCGUGAUUGUUUAGGCACAACUUAUGCUGCAACAAUUACGCUUUCGAUGUUAAUAUAUUUCAUUUUUACUUGUAAAAAAAAUAGUAAAAGGAAAUGGUGUAUAUUAUUAUAAGUAGUAUCGUUCAAACGUUUGUUUUUUGUAUUGUACUGCUAACACGUGUAAAUUAUGAAUAAUAUUUUUUAAGGUGAGAGAAAUACCACAAAGAGAAUAUGAUGUUACUAUGCAUUUUCAACCCUACUAUAUGAAAACCAAAUCGACACUUAUAUUUUGUCCGAAAAUAGUGGUGAUUUAUAAGGUGAGUGCUUGUUGCUUUCCUUCCAUAUUUAUUAGAUUUUUUUUUACUACAUGUAAGUAGAUUAUUAUAAAGAAUAUACGAAAUAUAGUGCAUGGUUUUAUAUUUUUAGAAAUGAUUGUUUGAGAUGAAAACGUUGGAAGAGGGUUUGAGCAAUGGGAUUUGAUUUGAUAAGAAUAUUUUCGGAAUACUAGGAAGGAAGAAGCAACUUAAUCAAANUUUUUUUUUUUUAGUAAGUACUAAAUUGAUAUUGUGUUUAGUCUAACUUCUCCUUAAAAAUAUAGAGAAGUUGGAAAAAGUCGCGUCAAACGAUACCUUAAUCUCCCACAACGGCAAUGUAGAAACAACUGAAUUUAAGAUUAUUUUUAUUAAUAUAAAAUAAAAAAGAAAAUAAUAUAAAAUAAAUAAAAAAUAAUAAAUAUAAAAAAGAAAAUAAUACAAAAGUAAAAAAAAUUGGAUGAGGUGGCAAUCCUCAAAGUUAAGAAAUUAUGGAAUUACCAAAUUGCCCCUUUUAGGGACAAAAUUGUAAAUUUAUAUGGCAUUAAUUUUAAUAAAUAGUUAGUAGAUCAUCCAAAGUUGAUCAAAGUAUAGUCUUUAUAAUUAAAAACAUAUUAGUACAGUUUCCAAAAAAAUAUAAAUUAGUGCAACAAUACUAGAUUUAAUUAAAAAAAAUACAACAAGUAAAUUCAAGAAAAAAUAAGGCAUGGGUUUUCUGUUUUUAAAGAAAAACGAAUCGAACCAUGCAUCCUAACAAUUCAAAAAAACUGAACCACACCGUUUGUGGUUUAAGACGAACCAAACCAAAUCAUUUUGCUAACUACAAGUUGAACCAAACCGAACCUAAAUCAACCUUUUGAGAGAUAAAUGUUUUGGAUACUAUUUAAAGAAUCCAUUCAUAUAAAAUUGCUAAUUUGGUUCAAAACUGUUCAUUAAAGGUUCGGUUUGGUUCAAAACGGUUAGGUUCAAAACUAAGGAUUAAGUCAAAAAACACAAUCGACUUUAAAUAUUAUCUUUAACCUCAAAGAAUACAUACAUACAAAGGAUUUGCAUUUUACUCGAUAAUUCUACUUGACUUUAAAUAUUAUCGACUUUCUCAUAUAAAAAGGUGUUAUGACUUUUCUUUAAUAUAAAAUUUAAAUUCAUUAAAAAAUUAUUUAAGAAAUCUUGACCAUUGAAUAAAAAUUUAGGAUUAUGUAAAAAAAAAAAAAAAAAAUCUUGGCUUGCUUUAGAAGAAAUCCUAAGAUUAUAAGCUAGUUGGAUUAUGUGAUGCUGACUAUGUUGAAGGCAGAAUUGAAAGAAAAAACAUCCAUGGAAAUUGUCAAUUCAUUGGUAAAAAUCUAAUCUCCUGAUCUAAUAAAAGACAAUCCAUUAUUGCAUUGUCCACAAUAGAAGUAAAAUACAAAUGAUAUGGAUGAAAAACCAAUUAGAAGACCAUCAGAUUAGUGAAACCGGUAUUCUUAUUUUUUAUUUUUUUGAUAAUAUUGUUGCUAUUUGUUUGUCUAAAAAUCAUAUUCUACACCGAAGAGCUAAGCACAUUAUAAUAAAGCAUCACUUUAUAAGAGAUUAUGUUUAGAAAUAUGUUUUAGAUAUAAAGUUCAUUGAUAUUGAUCAAUGAUAAGCUGAUAUAUUUACAAAACCCUUAACGGAAGAAAGAUUUAACUUUAUGUAGAAAAAUCUGAACAUGCAUUUUAUUCAAGAAAGAUUUAACUUUUUUUAGUUUGAUAGUAGUGUUUAUGAUGUCAGGGUCACUGUUAACUGUUUAUAGAAUGCCUGCAAUUGAUUUGCAGUUUAUACAGGAAUUCUAACUACAUGAUAAGACGGAAAGAGUAACCGUCUUAAAUUUUUUCUUAUCCUUAAACUCAACAGUCUCAAAUUCACUAGAAUUUCUAAUAAGAAUUUCUCCUCCCAUGAAAGUAAACCCUCUGUCUCCUUCACCAUUUUUGUCGUGCAAGAGUUGAGAGAUUCAGCUCGAACAACAACAUAAAUAUCUUUUGUCUUUGAAUUUUGAUCGACGCUUAUGUUUUGUCCACUAUUGGUAGCUAAAUUAUUAUGAAACAUAUAAGUAGUUUUAGGGUAUGGUUUUGUAUUUUUAGGAAUGAUUGUUUGAGAUGAAAAUGCUGGAAGAGGGUUUAAGUAAUGGAAUUUGAUACGAAAAUGUAAAGAAAGGAAGAAAUAACUAUGAAUUAAUUGUUUAAUUAAUAUUUGUAUACAAUUCAUUUAUUUACUUUAGAAAAAAAGAAUUUGUUGUCAUGAAACUACCAAGGACAAACAAUAGUAUCAUACAUUAGUAUGUACAAAAAUAUUACUCCCUCCGUCCCUAAUUAUAAGAUCCUUUGAGAAUUUUUUUUGUCCCUUUUUAUAAGACCUCUUUGUUAUUUCCAACUACAUUAAUUAUUUCUUUACAUACAUGCCCCUAUUUAUUAUACAUCUUUUUCUUCAAUCAGCAAUAAAUAGCAUAUGGAAAACAUAAACUAACUCUCUUUCUUAAGGAUAAUAUUGUAAAAACAAUAGUGAUUACAAACAACUUUAAUACAAAUAUCCACUUUCUUAAUUCCCGUGAUUUUAGCAAAAGGGUUUUAUAAUUAGGGACGGGGGAGUAGUAUAUAUAGGUAUUGACCUUGAUCUUGAUUUAAGUAUUAAUUUUAACUUAACUUAAUUGGAAAUGUCUUAGAAGUUUAAUUUUCGUGUGGCAUUGGAAAGCACUUAAAUGGUAGUACUUGUUACGUGUGUUUUGGAGGUAGACUUAUUCAAAGAUUCAAUAUUGUAAUUUAAUCUUUCUUCUGUCUCACGUAACCAUUAGUUUUUUUAUUUUUUUUUUUAUUUUUUAUGAAUUUAGUGUUUAUUAUUGUUACCCACAAUUUCCAGACACAUCAAGCUAAUUAAAUAUGUGAGGUGAGGCUUAACCUACCUUUCAAAAAUUAUGGAUCCAUCAAUCAAUCGAAAUUAACCAAAUGAGUAAAUAUAUAAAUAAUAUUCACAAAAUAAUUAACUUUAAUUUUACUUGUAAAUUUGUUUAUGUGAUUAAGGUACGUUUGGGCAAGCUUUUUUUCAGUCUAAAAACUACUUUAAAAUAAAGUUAAAAUAAAGUUCUUUAAGGAAAAAGUUAAAGCUGUUUGGUUUCUUUAUUUUUUUUAGUUUUAAAGUUAUUUUUAAGUUAAAAAGUUGUUUGACAAAAUAUUGUACAAAACUUUGAAUUUUUUUUAUUUUUUUUUUGUGGUGUCCGGGGUUCGAACCACGCGACCUUGCAUAUAUUUAUACAUUGUCUAUAUCAACUGAGCUAAGUUAGAGAAUAGUUUGUUUUUUCUUUUCCAAUUAUAUUGUAUAACAAAUUUUGUUAUAAGAAUAUCAUAUUUUUGGUGUCAUUUAAAAAGAUAAGAAUUUAUAUUAUAUAUAUUAUAUUUGUUACAUUGUAGGUGUUAUUGAAAAAGAUAUGUUUAGUUUUUUUAAUAAGAAAAAGAUAUGCAUAGUUUGUUACAAUAUAAAUGUGUAAAAUAUAUAUAAGAUACCGUUUGGCCCGACUUUUUUUUUCAGCUUUUCUAUAUUUUUAAGGAGAAGUUAGGCCAAACACAAUAUCAAUAAAGUACCUUCGAAAAAAAGUACUUUUUUUAGAAUUCAUAAAAUUGAAUGAAAUGAGCUUUAACCAAAAGUUGUUGAAUGCUACUUCAAAAAACUACUUCUCUGUAAUUUAUUUCACAAGCACUUUUCUUCAACUCACGCAGGCAACCUUCUCUUCAACAAAUUGAAAUAUAAUAUUAAAAAAUAAAAGAUAAGGUUGUCUGUGUGAGUUGAAAGAAGUGCUUGUGAAAUAAAUUACAGAGAAGUUGUUUUUUGAAGUAGAAUUCAACAACUUUUGGUUAAAACUCAUUCCAUUCAAUUUUAUGCAUUUCAAAAAAUGUGCUUUUUUUUCGAAGGUAAUUUAUUGAUAUUGUGUUUGGCCCAGCUCUCCUUAAAAAUGUAGAAAAACUUAAAAAAAAGCCGGAUCAAACGUUACCUAAUAUUGAUUGGUUGAAGCCAUGAUAUUUAAAUCUGUUCAUUGGAAAACCCUCUGUUCUCUGACCUUUCUCUAUCGCGCCGCCCCUAACCCUUUCAUCCAAAUUCUCCACCAUGUAACUCCGGUAGGUGGCGGUGCGACGAGUUCUUGCUCCGCACCAUCCUUUGUUCCGUUGGAGCCGUCGCAGAUCUCCUUUCUUGGGUCGAUUACUGCUCUUCCGGCGGCGGUUGUUUCAGGAGGUUGUAGCUUCUGACGUAGGGUGUUAUAACGGCGUGGGUGCGUUGUUUCUCCAUCGUCGUUACGUCUGCGUUUCAAAACCGGGUCUGUUUCCACGAAGAUUCGGCGGGGUCGUUUUAAAACAAGUUCUCUGUGUUCGCGUGCUGCUGCUCAUACAGUGGGUGGUUCUUGAUUCAAGGACAAACAAUAGUAUCAUACAUUAGUAUGUACAAAAAUAUUAGUAUAUAUAGGUAUUGACCUUGAUCUUGAUUUAAGUAUUAAUUUUAACUUAACUUAAUUGGAAAUGUCUUAGAAGUUUAAUUUUCGUGUGGCAUUGGAAAGCACUUAAAUGGUAGUACUUGUUACGUGUGUUUUGGAGGUAGACUUAUUCAAAGAUUCAAUAUUGUAAUUUAAUCUUUCUUCUGUCUCACGUAACCAUUAGUUAAUUUUAUUUUUUAUUUUUUUUUUUAUUUUUUUUUUAUUUAUGAAUUUAGUGUUUAUUAUUGUUACCCACAAUUUCCAGACACAUCAAGCUAAUUAAAUAUGUGAGGUGAGGCUUAACCUACCUUUCAAAAAUUAUGGAUCCAUCAAUCAAUCAAAAUUAAUCAAAUGAGUAAAUAUAUAAAUGAUAUUCACAAAAUAAUUAACUUUAAUUUUACUUGUAAAUUUGUUUAUGUGAUUAAUAUUGAUUGGUUGAAGUAUAAAUUACCCACAAUUCUCUAAAUGUAACAUAGAAAAACUAACCGUAGAUGCCAUUAUACUGCGUUAUGAUAUUAAAAAGUUUAGGCAAGUUGAGUCUCGGAGCUCACUAGAAUUAGAGCAAAUCUGAUGGUUUAAGAACACUUACAAAUAUAUUUAUAGAUCUCUCACAAAAGAUGUCUUCAUAUUAACAAUGAGAAUUGAACCUACGUUCUUACGAGAUAUCAGCGCAACUAUCGAUAGUGUACGGGAUCAAUAUUAUAGAAGAUUACAAAUAUGGGGUAUAUGACCUUGUUUUACUGUUUGAAAUCUUUUUGACUAAACAGUGGAUGAGAGAAUUAAACCAUUUUUAAUGACAGAUUCUUCCCUUCCAAUGAUGAACAGACAUGGACAAAGGUUUAUAGGAUAAGAAGGACAUGUUGAUACAACGUGGAGCCAGUGAUGUUUUCUCACACGUAAAGUAAGCAUAAUAUUGUCAUGUUGAUGACCACUUUAAAAUAAAUAUUAUUUAAAAUAUUUAUAUAUGUAUUAAAAAAUCAAUGAUUAGAAUAAAAAAUAUAUAUAUUUUUAUCAAAUUAUUCUUAUUAACUAUUGAUUUUUUCAUUAAAAAAUAUAAAUGAUCGUUCUUUCCAUAUAAUUUCAUUUCAUCUAAAAAAUACUAUAUAAUAUCAAUCAAAUAACGUCUUCAGCUUAGCAUGAAAACGGUGGAAAUUCAUUAAAAAAAACGGUGGAAAUGCAGCAGCAAAUUAAAGAGCAAUACAAAGGCAAAGUUAUAAGUCAAAAUCCAACAAAAACGGACAUUGCUUUUUCAAAUCAAAAUCCAAAUACAUUGAACCAACCAACCAAUUACACCCUUUCUUUCUUCCCCUUUUUCUCACUAGUCACCUACCAAAUCAAGAUCCCAAAACUUCUUAUAUAUUCAUACAACCACCUCAAUUCCAUCACUACAAAAUUGAAGGACGUAACAAUAUAUUCAUUCUUACACUAAUACAUAUUUUUGUGCACUAAGUUUUCUAUUCUACCAUGGUUGUGACUUCACAAACAUUAGAAAUUACGGUUAUAUCUGGUGAAAAUAUUCAUGUAACGGAGGAUGCAUACGUUGUUGUUCGAGGUGAGUCU
Molecule: long non-coding RNA, 7770 nt
Filed under: Medicago truncatula (barrel medic)
Lineage: Eukaryota; Viridiplantae; Streptophyta; Magnoliopsida; Fabales; Fabaceae
Description: long non-coding RNA (MTRU_LNC006031)
Source: RNAcentral